Molecule: ribosomal RNA, 407 nt
Filed under: bacterium enrichment culture clone ALO1_GLFRUDD03GALAD
Lineage: Bacteria
Description: bacterial SSU rRNA
Rfam family: Bacterial small subunit ribosomal RNA
Source: RNAcentral
GAGUUUGAUCCUGGCUCAGAUUGAACGCUGGCGGCAUGCCUUACACAUGCAAGUCGAACGGCAGCACGGGAGCUUGCUCCUGGUGGCGAGUGGCGAACGGGUGAGUAAUGCAUCGGAACGUAUCCUGGAGUGGGGGAUAACGUAGCGAAAGUUACGCUAGUACCGCAUAUUCUGUGAGCAGGAAAGCGGGGGACCUUCGGGCCUCGCGCUCUUGGAGCGGCCGAUGUCGGAUUAGCUAGUUGGUGAGGUAAAGGCUCACCAAGGCGACGAUCCGUAGCAGGUCUGAGAGGAUGAUCUGCCACACUGGAACUGAGACACGGUCCAGACUCCUACGGGAGGCAGCAGUGGGGAAUUUUGGACAAUGGGGGCAACCCUGAUCCAGCCAUGCCGCGUGAGUGAAGAAGGCC